GACGAACGCUGGCGGCGUGCCUAAUACAUGCAAGUCGAGCGGACCGAAGGGAGCUUGCUCCUUUAGGUUAGCGGCGGACGGGUGAGUAACACGUGGGCAACCUGCCCUGCAGACUGGGAUAACUUCGGGAAACCGGAGCUAAUACCGGAUAACACCGAAAACCGCAUGGUUUUCGGUUGAAAGGCGGCUUUUAGCUGUCACUGCAGGAUGGGCCCGCGGCGCAUUAGCUAGUUGGUGAGGUAACGGCUCACCAAGGCGUCGAUGCGUAGCCGACCUGAGAGGGUGACCGGCCACACUGGGACUGAGGCACGGCCCAGACUCCUACGGGAGGCAGCAGUAGGGAAUCUUCCGCAAUGGACGAAAGUCUGACGGAGCAACGCCGCGUGAGCGAAGAAGGUCUUCGGAUCGUAAAGCUCUGUUGUCAGGGAAGAACAAGUACCGUCCGAAUAGGGCGGUACCUCGACGGUACCUGACGAGGAAGCCACGGCUAACUACGUGCCAGCCGCCGCGGUAA
This 514-nucleotide ribosomal RNA is filed under the name uncultured bacterium. Its description in RNAcentral is "partial 16S ribosomal RNA". It matches the Rfam family "Bacterial small subunit ribosomal RNA", at positions 28 to 523 of the family's 1533-position model. The record is from RNAcentral.